RNAcentral lists this transfer RNA (72 nucleotides) under Omphalotus olearius VT 653.13. Its description in RNAcentral is "tRNA-Gln (CTG) (tRNA-Gln-CTG-2-1)". It matches the Rfam family "tRNA". From Rfam's summary of the family: Transfer RNA (tRNA) molecules are approximately 80 nucleotides in length. Their secondary structure includes four short double-helical elements and three loops (D, anti-codon, and T loops). Further hydrogen bonds mediate the characteristic L-shaped molecular structure. tRNAs have two regions of fundamental functional importance: the anti-codon, which is responsible for specific mRNA codon recognition, and the 3' end, to which the tRNAs corresponding amino acid is attached (by aminoacyl-tRNA synthetases). tRNAs cope with the degeneracy of the genetic code in two manners: having more than one tRNA (with a specific anti-codon) for a particular amino acid; and 'wobble' base-pairing, i.e. permitting non-standard base-pairing at the 3rd anti-codon position. The record is from RNAcentral. Lineage: Eukaryota; Fungi; Basidiomycota; Agaricomycetes; Agaricales; Omphalotaceae.
GGUCCAGUAGUGUAGCGGUUAUCACCCGGGAUUCUGAUUCCCGUAACCCAGGUUCGAUUCCUGGCUGGACCU